This 622-nucleotide long non-coding RNA is filed under the name Marmota monax (woodchuck). The record is from RNAcentral. Lineage: Eukaryota; Metazoa; Chordata; Mammalia; Rodentia; Sciuridae.
AUUAUCUUAACUUGGAUGGUACUUUUUUAGAAAGUUCAUUCACAUAUGUAAAUUGGGAUUUUUUUACAUUUCCAGUUAUGAGUUGGUCCCUGAUUGUCUUACUGGAGAACACAAGCUUUUAAAUCAGAACUGAGGGUGAACUUCAGCUCCAAUACUUACCACUUGGGGAAAAUGUGUAUACUUAACCCCAGUCUGUUUCUUCUUGGUGGGGGAAACAGACUUUUCAUGAUUGUUCUAAGGACUAACUAAAAGAUACAUAGAAGUUCUAAGGACUAAAAGGCUCACUAUAUUAUUUCUCCCACAGGCUCUUUCUACUUAUCAGGCUCACGAAUACAGUGACAGUGCUAGCUCCAUUUUCUACACAGUAGCAGUCCAGUCCUGUUUAAUGCACAUGGCUUUGUUAAACUUUUCUUAGAUAAAAAUGAGGUUAUGUAGCAGUUUUUUGAUUACACUAAUACUUGAAGUCAUUGACCUUUUUCUACUCUGCAGCCCUCAUGAAUGUACACAGAACUUUCCAGAAGCUACCCAAUAUAUGUGAUCUUAAUUGAUGAAGUGUAAAUGAGAAUCCCACUGUCUGCCAGUAAGCCAGAUACUAAAGCAAUAUGUGAAGUGUAAAAUUUUG